Long non-coding RNA from Lactuca sativa (garden lettuce), 1678 nucleotides. RefSeq lists it as uncharacterized. The record is from RefSeq and is a predicted model, not a curated record. NCBI's taxonomy places the organism in Eukaryota, Viridiplantae, Streptophyta, Magnoliopsida, Asterales, Asteraceae.
UGUAUUCCCUCCGAAAUAAUUAUAAUAUUAAAAAGGGGUCGUAAGCACUCACUUUCGUAGCAUGAGUUCCAAUCGUUUGAAUUCUGUUUCUUUGAGAAACUAGACGUGAGAAAGCGUAAAUCCACAAUUCUUGAACUUUGAAAUACUCUCGGACCAUUUCAUAACAAGUUGGAACUAUUGGGGACUGAUUUGUAACUUCACUAGAGUAUAAGGGAUGUUUGGUAAUUUAAUUAACCGAAGUAGGAUUACUUUGGUAAAAAUAAUUUCAAAGGAGGGGCUAAAAUAAUUAUUUUUAUUCGAUGUUUGAAGAUUGGGAUUUCUUAUGUUAAAAAUAACCUAAUAAGGGGUUGUUUGUGGAUAAAUGGAAUCAUAUUUUGGGGAUCGGGGCCUAUUUUGAAUAAAGAAUUUAUACAGCAAGGGCAUUUUGGUCAUUUCCUAUGUCAAAACUGGCUUAGGGCUUUUUAUGCCCGUGUUCGUUUUAUGAUCGGGUAAAAAUCGAGGCACAAAUUCGAACACAAGGCAGAUGCGAAGGAAGGCACUGAGGCAAUGAGGAAUCGGAAGCAAAUUAGUUGGGAGGGAAAAGACUCGAUCCUCAUCUGAUCGGGGAAAGGAAUCGGCAUCGAUUUCGACUGAUUGAGAAGACGACCGAAUGGGAUCGUCAUAGAAACGAGGGAGCGGAAAGCUGGACACGAACGAAGCAGCGGGGGAAGAGGCGUACAAUGGUAGCAGCGCUUCGUUGGUCGAUUAAUCGCGAAGAGGGACCGCCGUCUCUGGGGUUCGACGAGGCCGAAGAGGCGAAGCAGCCAAGCUGCUGGGGUCUUCUGUUGUUUGAUUCGGUUACAGCAGCGGUACACGAAAAGGGAAAAUACGAGGUUUCGGUGGUAUUGAUGUGGAAACACGAAGAGGGAGAAGGCGAGGGCAGAGGUCUCGGUCUUUGGCCGGUCGCGAAGGAGAACGAAGGCGGAAUCGUAACGCUCUCUUUGAAGGGGCAAGACAAGCUGCGAUACCUCGGGUGGGGACGGCUUGGCAGGAAGGAUCGAUGGAAGGAAGAAAUGGUUCGAUGAUAGAUUUUUUUGGUGCUUGCAGCUCAAACGCAGAAGGGAAUGAAAGAAAAGAAUCAUUAAGGCUUUACAAGAACACCUCCAAUGGAGGCGUUAUUGACUGGAAUGAAGAAGAAGAAUAAAGGAAAUGGGUGCUGUGUUUUUGGUGAUUUAUUGACUGCUCUACUUGAGGAAAGAAACACGUGUCCUUUGAGUUUGAGUGUUUACUUUUGCAUUGUACAGGUUUUAUUUUGAGUGUAGUUUUGAUUGAGUGUGAUAUUGGGUUGAAGAAUAUUUUGCACGUAAUCAAGUUCAGAUGUUGCAGGGACAAGUGAUGUUGGUGACUUGUGUUUCAGUUGACAACUCACAAGGAGAAAUAGGUUCUAACAAGUUUGUUUUAACCAGUUUGUUUUGGGUGUAUUUUUGGAUAAAAUGGUUUGGUUUGUGUGUGUCUAUGUAUAACAUAAGGGUUGUACAAUAAUUUGUAUAGUUUGUGUCGUAAAUAGUCUCAUUUUUGUAUUUAAUGUGUGUAUUGAUUUAAUUAAGUAUGCAUUUAGCAAUAUUAUAACUUGUAUUUGUAAUAGCCUCAUUUUUGUAUGACUAGUGUGUAUUGAUUUAAUUUAGUACGAAUUUGUGUA